CACGUAGGCACCAAGCGUUAUCCGGAUUUAUUGGGCGUAAAGAGCUCGUAGGCGGUUCGGUAAGUCGGGUGUGAAAACUCUGGGCUCAACCCAGAGAGGCCACCCGAUACUGCUGUGACUAGAGUGCGGUAGGGGAGCGGGGAAUUCCUGGUGUAGCGGUGAAAUGCGCAGAUAUCAGGAGGAACACCAAUGGCGAAGGCAGCUCGCUGGGACGUGACUGACGCUGAGACGCGAAAGCGUGGGGAGCAAACAGG
Molecule: ribosomal RNA, 254 nt
Filed under: uncultured bacterium
Lineage: Bacteria
Description: partial 16S ribosomal RNA
Rfam family: Bacterial small subunit ribosomal RNA
Source: RNAcentral